Molecule: ribosomal RNA, 1453 nt
Filed under: metagenome
Description: bacterial SSU rRNA
Rfam family: Bacterial small subunit ribosomal RNA
Source: RNAcentral
AGAGUUUGAUCCUGGCUCAGGACGAACGCUGGCGGCGUGCCUAACACAUGCAAGUCGAACGAAGAGGCCCCUUCGGGGGUACUUCAGUGGCGGACGGGUGAGUAACACGUAGGCGACCUGCCCCGAAGCAGGGGAUAACGGCUCGAAAGGGCCGCUAAUACCCAAAAGGAUCGCGUAUCAAAGCGCGAUCAGAGUUACGGCGUUUCGGGAGGGGCCUGCGGCCCAUCAGCUAGUUGGUAGGGUAAUGGCCUACCAAGGCUACGACGGGUAGGGGGCCUGAGAGGGUGAUCCCCCACAUUGGCACUGACACACGGGCCAAACUCCUACGGGAGGCAGCAGUGAGGAAUAUUGCACAAUGAGCGAAAGCUAGAUGCAGCAACACCGCGUGGAUGAUGAAGGCCUUCGGGUCGUAAAAUCCUUUUCAGAGGGACGAGUGAGGACGGUACCUCUGGAAUAAGUCACGGCUAACUACGUGCCAGCAGCCGCGUAAAACGUAGGUGGCGAGCGUUAUCCGGAUUCACUGGGCGUAAAGCGCCUGCAGGCGGUCUUGUAAGUGGGAUGUGAAAUCUCCUGGCUUAACUGGGAGGGGUCAUUCCAUACUGCGAGACUGGAGGGCAGAAGAGGGAAGUGGAAUUCCCGGUGUAGUGGUGAAAUGCGUAGAUAUCGGGAGGAACACCAGUGGCGAAGGCGACUUCCUGGUCUGCUUCUGACGCUAAGAGGCGAAAGCUAGGGGAGCGAACGGGAUUAGAAACCCCGGUAGUCCUAGCCAUAAACGUUGGAUACUAGGUGUUGGUGGUCCUAACCCCAUCAGUGCCGAAGCUAACGCGUUAAGUAUCCCGCCUGGGGACUACGGCCGCAAGGUUAAAACUCAAAGGAAUUGACGGGGGCCCGCACAAGCAGCGGAGCGUGUGGUUUAAUUCGAUUCUACACGAAGAACCUUACCCAGGUUUGACAUGCAAGUAGUAGUGAAGCGAAAGUGGAACGACCCUUCGGGGAGCUUGCACAGGUGCUGCAUGGCUGUCGUCAGCUCGUGCCGUGAGGUGUUGGGUUAAGUCCCCUAACGAGCGCAACCCUCGCCGUCAGUUACAAGUGUCUGGCGGGACUGCCGGUCUAAAACCGGAGGAAGGUGGGGAUGACGUCAAGUCAGCAUGGCCUUUAUAUCUGGGGCUACACACACGCUACAAUGGCCAGUACAAUAGGUUGCCAACCCGCGAGGGGGAGCCAAUCCUAAAAAGCUGGUCUCAGUUCGGAUUGGAGGCUGCAACCCGCCUCCAUGAAGUCGGAGUUGCUAGUCAACGCAGGUCAGCUAUACUGCGUUGAAUACGUUCCCGGGCCUUGUACACACCGCCCGUCACGUCAUGGGAGCUGGUAACACCUGAAGCCGGUGCGCUAACCGCAAGGAGGCAGCCGUCGAGGGUGGGACUGGUGACUGGGACGAAGUCGUAACAAGGUA